Molecule: ribosomal RNA, 253 nt
Filed under: uncultured bacterium
Lineage: Bacteria
Description: partial 16S ribosomal RNA
Rfam family: Bacterial small subunit ribosomal RNA
Source: RNAcentral
UACGGGGGGGGCAAGCGUUGUUCGGAAUUACUGGGCGUAAAGGGUGCGUAGGCGGUCCGCUAAGUUGGAUGUGAAAACUCUGGGCUUAACCCAGAGCCUGCAUUCAAAACUGACGGGCUAGAGUUCUGGAGGGGGUAGCGGAAUUCCUGGUGUAGCGGUGAAAUGCGUAGAUAUCAGGAGGAACACCGGUGGCGAAGGCGGCUACCUGGACAGAAACUGACGCUGAGGCGCGAAAGCUAGGGGAGCAAACAGG